RNAcentral lists this ribosomal RNA (497 nucleotides) under uncultured bacterium. Its description in RNAcentral is "bacterial SSU rRNA". It matches the Rfam family "Bacterial small subunit ribosomal RNA", at positions 28 to 521 of the family's 1533-position model. The record is from RNAcentral.
GAUUAACGCUGGCGGCAUGCCUAAUACAUGCAAGUCGAACGGAAGCAGCAAUGCUUUAGUGGCGAACGGGUGAGUAACACGUAGGGAACCUACCUAUACGACGAGGAUAACUACUGGAAACGGUAGCUAAAACUGGAUAGGAUCAAUUGAGGCAUCUUGAUUGAUUUAAAGAUCCUUCGGGAUUACGUAGAGAUGGCCCUGCGGCGCAUUAGCUAGUUGGUGAGGUAACGGCCCACCAAGGCGACGAUGCGUAGCUGAGCUGAGAGGCUAAACAGCCACACUGGGACUGAGACACGGCCCAGACUCCUACGGGAGGCAGCAGUAGGGAAUUUUCGGCAAUGGGGGAAACCCUGACCGAGCAAUGCCGCGUGAACGAUGAAGGUCUUCGGAUUGUAAAGUUCUGUGAUUGGGGAAGAAUGGUAUUCUUAGGGAAUGAGGAGUACAUGACGGUACCCGAUUAGAAAGCCCCGGCUAACCUAUGUGCCAGCAGCCGCGGU